This 106-nucleotide ribosomal RNA is filed under the name Dipodomys ordii (Ord's kangaroo rat). Lineage: Eukaryota; Metazoa; Chordata; Mammalia; Rodentia; Heteromyidae. The record is from RNAcentral.
GUCUACGGCCAUACCACCGUGGACGCACCCGAUCUCGUCUGAUCUCGGAAGCUAAGCAGGGUCGGGCCUGGUUAGUACUUGGAAAACUAGAAGGUUUCUGAAGACA